Molecule: ribosomal RNA, 512 nt
Filed under: uncultured bacterium
Lineage: Bacteria
Description: partial 16S ribosomal RNA
Rfam family: Bacterial small subunit ribosomal RNA
Source: RNAcentral
GACGAACGCUGGCGGCGUGCCUAAUACAUGCAAGUCGAGCGGAACUGGGGGAGCUUGCUCCUUCCAGUUUAGCGGCGGACGGGUGAGUAAUACGUGGGCAACCUGCCCUGCAGAUCGGGAUAACUCCGGGAAACCGGUGCUAAUACCGAAUAGUUUGGCGCCUCUCCUGAGGCGCCACGGAAAGACGGUUUCGGCUGUCACUGCAGGAUGGGCCCGCGGCGCAUUCACUAGUUGGUGGGGUAACGGCCCACAAAGGCGACGAUGCGUAGCCGGACUGAGGGGGUGACCGGCCACACGGGGACUGCAACACGGCCCCGACGCCUACGGGAGGCAGCAGUAGGGAAUCUUCCGCAAUGGACGCAAGUCUGACGGAGCAGCGCCGCGUGAGUGACGAAGGUUUUCGGAUCGUAAAACUCUGUUGUGAGGGAAGAACACGUACCAACUAACUAUUGGUACCUUGACGGUACCUCACCAGAAAGCCACGGCUAACUACGUGCCAGCCGCCGCCGUAA